CCAAGCAAUGGGGUGACGCAGGAAGGUAACCCAACCCAGGCGAUGGUUGACCUGGGGUAAGGAUGUAGGGCGAGAUGUAGGCAAAUCCGCAUCUCACGUGCCUGAGAUCUGACGCCGAGCCGAUUCAGGUGAAGUGGGUAAUCCUAUGCUGCCGAGAAAAGCCUCUAGCGAGUGUUAAAGCCGCCCGUACCCCAAACCGACACAGGUGGUCAGGUAGAGAAUACUAAGGCGAUCGAGAUAACUAUGGUUAAGGAACUCGGCAAAAUGCCCCCGUAACUUCGGGAGAAGGGGGGCCCGUUCUGGUGAGGAGAUUUACUCUCCGAGCUGGGAUUGGCCGCAGAGACCAGGCCCAAGCGACUGUUUACUAAAAACACAGGUCCAUGCUAAGUCGCAAGACGCUGUAUAUGGACUGACGCCUGCCCGGUGCUGGAACGUUAAGGGGACGGGUUAGUGACUUCGGUCGCGAAGCUCAGAACUUAAGCGCCAGUAAACGGCGGUGGUAACUAUAACCAUCCUAAGGUAGCGAAAUUCCUUCUCGGGUAAGUUCCGACCUGCACGAAUGGCGUAACGACUUGGGCGCUGUCUCAACCGUAGACUCGGCGAAAUUGCACUACGAGUAAAGAUGCUCGUUACGCGCGGCAGGACGGUAAGACCCCGGGACCUUUACUACAGCUUGGUAUUGGUGGUCGAUUCGAUUUGUGUAGGAUAGGUGGGAGACUGUGAACUUCGGACGCCAGUUCGAAGGGAGUCAUCGUUGAAAUACCACUCUGAUCGUAUUGGCUGUCUAACCUAGAUCCGUAAUCCGGAUCAGGGACAGUGCCUGGUGGGUAGUUUAACUGGGGCGGUUGCCUCCUAAAAUGUAACGGAGGCGCUCAAAGGUUCCCUCAGCCUGGUUGGCAAUCAGGUAUCGAGUGUAAGUGCACAAGGGAGCUUGACUGUGAGACUGACGGGUCGAGCAGGGACGAAAGUCGGAACUAGUGAUCCGGCGCUGGCAAGUGGAAGCGGCGUCGCUCAACGGAUAAAAGGUACCCCGGGGAUAACAGGCUGAUCUUGCCCAAGAGUCCAUAUCGACGGCAUGGUUUGGCACCUCGAUGUCGGCUCGUCGCAUCCUGGGGCUGGAGUAGGUCCCAAGGGUUGGGCUGUUCGCCCAUUAAAGCGGCACGCGAGCUGGGUUUAGAACGUCGUGAGACAGUUCGGUCCCUAUCCGCCGCGCGCGUAAGAGUCUUAAGAAGAUCUGUCCCUAGUACGAGAGGACCGGGAUGGACGAACCUCUGGUGUGUCAGUUGUCCUGCCAAGGGCACUGCUGAUUAGCUACGUUCGGAAGAGAUAACCGCUGAAAGCAUCUAAGCGGGAAACUCGCUUCAAGAUGAGGGCUCUCACAGGGUUAACCUGGUAAGGCCCCCAGUAGACCACUGGGUUGAUAGGCCGGAAGUGGAAGUGCGGUAACGCAUGCAGCUGACCGGUACUAAUAGGCCGAGGACUUGAUC
This 1487-nucleotide ribosomal RNA is filed under the name metagenome. Its description in RNAcentral is "bacterial LSU rRNA". It matches the Rfam family "Bacterial large subunit ribosomal RNA", at positions 1457 to 2925 of the family's 2925-position model. The record is from RNAcentral.